GACAGAGGGUGCUAGCGUUGUUCGGAAUGACUGGGCGUAAAGGGCGCGUAGGCGGUUUUUCAAGUCAGAUGUGAAAGCCCCGGGCUUAACCUGGGAACUGCAUUUGAUACUGGAUGACUGGAGUACGAGAGAGGAAAGCGGAAUUCCUAGUGUAGAGGUGAAAUUCGUAGAUAUCUGGAGGAACACCGGUGGCGAAGGCGGCAUCCUGGACCGACACUGACGCUGAGGAGCGAAAGCCAGGGGAGCAAACGGG
This 253-nucleotide ribosomal RNA is filed under the name uncultured bacterium. Its description in RNAcentral is "partial 16S ribosomal RNA". It matches the Rfam family "Bacterial small subunit ribosomal RNA", at positions 524 to 776 of the family's 1533-position model. The record is from RNAcentral.